RNAcentral lists this ribosomal RNA (253 nucleotides) under uncultured bacterium. RNAcentral describes it as "partial 16S ribosomal RNA". It matches the Rfam family "Bacterial small subunit ribosomal RNA", at positions 524 to 776 of the family's 1533-position model. The record is from RNAcentral.
UACAGAGGGGGCAAGCGUUGUUCGGAAUUAUUGGGCGUAAAGGGCGCGCAGGCGGCCUGGCAAGUCGAAGGUGAAAUCCCUCGGCUUAACCGAGGAACUGCCCUCCAAACUGCUUGGCUUGAGUCCGGGAGAGGUGAGUGGAAUUCCCAGUGUAGCGGUGAAAUGCGUAGAUAUUGGGAGGAACACCAGUGGCGAAGGCGGCUCACUGGACCGGAACUGACGCUGAGGCGCGAAAGCGUGGGGAGCAAACGGG